AAAGCCUAACCGUUUUGGAAAUGUUAACGCGUUUAAUAACCACCACACACGUAAUAAAAGGCGUCGAGUUCUGGUACGGAAUCAUCUCUUCAUUCAGAAGGCAGCAAAAUGAAUAAGUCAGCGCUUCUCCUCUUGCUUGUCGUCGGACCCCUCGUCCUCAUCGGUACAACAAAUGCUACUAUCGUUUUUCCGUCAAGAAGGUAUGGUAGUCUCUGGUCUAGUUUUAGACGCAGAAUCAUCAGAAUCCAUCCCCAGCCCGUGUGGUUUUAUACGCCAUUAAAAACAGCCUCGGAUGGUAUUGAUUUAUCUGCUUUCCUUGAAUAAAUGCACGAACAAAGAUGUGGAAAUUUGGUUGACAAUAUAAAUAAACCAUCUUGCAUUACAAUAA
This is a non-coding RNA of Ciona intestinalis (vase tunicate), 388 nucleotides long. The record is from RefSeq and is a predicted model, not a curated record. Lineage: Eukaryota; Metazoa; Chordata; Ascidiacea; Phlebobranchia; Cionidae.